Molecule: ribosomal RNA, 619 nt
Filed under: uncultured bacterium
Lineage: Bacteria
Description: bacterial SSU rRNA
Rfam family: Bacterial small subunit ribosomal RNA
Source: RNAcentral
CCUACGGGAGGCAGCAGUAAGGAAUAUUGGUCAAUGGACGGAAGUCUGAACCAGCCAUGCCGCGUGCAGGAAGACGGCCCUACGGGUUGUAAACUGCUUUUGCAGGGGAAUAAACCUCAUUACGUGUAAUGAGCUGAAUGUACUCUGAGAAUAAGGAUCGGCUAACUCCGUGCCAGCAGCCGCGGUAAUACGGAGGAUCCAAGCGUUAUCCGGAUUUAUUGGGUUUAAAGGGUGCGUAGGUGGCCUGUUAAGUCAGGGGUGAAAGACGGUAGCUUAACUAUCGCAGUGCCCUUGAUACUGAUGGGCUUGAAUGAACUAGAGGUAGGCGGAAUGUGACAAGUAGCGGUGAAAUGCAUAGAUAUGUCACAGAACACCAAUUGCGAAGGCAGCUUACUAUGGUUUUAUUGACACUGAGGCACGAAAGCGUGGGGAUCAAACAGGAUUAGAUACCCUGGUAGUCCACGCCCUAAACGAUGAAUACUCGAUGUUGGCGAUAUACGGUCAGCGUCUAAGCGAAAGCGUUAAGUAUUCCACCUGGGAGUACGCCCGCAAGGGUGAAACGUUAAAGNGAAGUUGACGGCGUGAGAGUCGACGACGGACGACCGACGGAGGGAGGAGG